Molecule: long non-coding RNA, 330 nt
Organism: Helianthus annuus (common sunflower)
Lineage: Eukaryota; Viridiplantae; Streptophyta; Magnoliopsida; Asterales; Asteraceae
Exons: 3
Source: RefSeq, a predicted model, not a curated record
CUGGUAUUGUGAGUCUAACAUUGUUUGAGCGUGAGGUGACAAAGCUUUUGAAGGUUAAUGCUAAUCAGCUUUUAGACAACAACAUUGAAUUAGCAAACGAAGGAAGCUUUCCAAAGGAGCUAAAUUCUUUACUCAAUAUGAAGUUUGCGUUCAAGAUUGUUGUUUCUUCUUUUAACAUCAGCAAGAAGUCUGAUGGCUACUCAGUCUCCAAGAUGACUGAUAACCCGGUUGUUUUGUCCGAGCUUGAUAAACAUUUUGACACUAUUCAGCCUAUUGAUGAGGAAGCCGUCAAUGUCGAACCAUCCGAUUCAAAUCGUAAUGAUGAUUUGC